CCCUUAGAUGUUCUGGGCCGCACGCGCGCUACACUGAUGCAUUCAACGAGCCUAUCCUUGACCGACAGGUCCGGGUAAUCUUUGAAUCUGCAUCGUGACGGGGAUAGAUUAUUGCAAUUAUUAAUCUUGAACGAGGAAUUCCUAGUAAACGCAAAUCAUCAAUUUGCAUUGAUUACGUCCCUGCCCUUUGUACACACCGCCCGUCGCACCUACCGAUUGAAUGGUCCGGUGAAGCCUCGGGAUUGUGGCCAGUUCACUUUAUUGGGAGUUGGCUGCGAGAACUUGUCUAAACCUUAUCAUUUAGAGGAAGGUGAAGUCGUAACA
Molecule: ribosomal RNA, 324 nt
Filed under: uncultured eukaryote
Lineage: Eukaryota
Description: partial 18S ribosomal RNA
Rfam family: Eukaryotic small subunit ribosomal RNA
Source: RNAcentral